GGAGAUCCAUUCGACCUUCGACCUUCAAUGGAGGAAAACACCCAAAGCGUUGAAAGGCUUCAACAGAUAUGGGACAUCUAUUGUAACCUUUGGCGUUUCUCUUCUUUUUCAUUUAACACAGAACAGAGGCACAUAGAAUCAAUGAUAUGGAUCAAAGACAACAACAAAGGAAGUACCAAACUCCACAGCACCACGAACCCACCAUAAAUCAAGGACCAAAUGAUAAAUUGAAGAAAAAGGAAGAUGGAAAAUUGGGAAAGAGGAAGAGGA
Molecule: long non-coding RNA, 270 nt
Filed under: Vigna radiata
Lineage: Eukaryota; Viridiplantae; Streptophyta; Magnoliopsida; Fabales; Fabaceae
Description: long non-coding RNA (VRAD_LNC011376)
Source: RNAcentral